ACCCCGUGAACUAGACACCAAGCCAAGCACCUGUCCAAAAGGGUUGCUGUCAUACCAGCACCUAGGUAACACCAACUAGAUCCUUUUCAGACACAGAAGCUUGUCCUGAACCUGGGCAAGGCUGGAAGUACUAUGGAGGAUCCAGCCUGGGCCACCACUUCCAUGUAGAGAAGUGGGGCAGCAGCCCCUCCUGGGAGUUUGUGCACAGUUCUAAGUGUGUAGACCACAUGCCCUCUGAGGCAGGCACUGAGAAAACUCUAGGGUGUGUGCCAGUAUCUCCCAAGUGUCGCCUGGGAUGCUGUGGGUAAACAUUUCUCAGCUAGCUUCGUUUUCACAACUGUUGAAAAUCUGAAAACCUUCUCAUGUUGCCUGGUCACCACCUACUACCAUAAAGCGUGGGCCUUGCCUGGAAAGAAUGUUACCACUGUCUUGCUCACAGAACAGCCCUCUUAAUCUGAGCCUGUCUAUGCUGGCAUUCUUUGCCAGUAUUGGGACACUUCUUUGAUGCUAAACUGACAGUGCUUUGUUCUAUAAUACAGAUGGCCUGGGAUAUUUUGGCAUUUCUUGCAUAAUGCUUCUGAGGGACUUGGCUGUACCUCUCUUUGACUAAGAUGACUAAGAUGGCCCUUGGUCUAGUGGGGAACAGUGGGCAUCUGCCCUCACAGAUGACACCUCACAGCAACACCUCAGAUUCCCGUGUUCCAAAGGCAGCAACAAUUUUGCCAUUUCUGUUAACUUUCACAAAGGCACCCCCAAAUACCCACAACAGAGGUUACCCCGGUUUUGUCUACAGUGACUGCCUGUGGGCCAGGCCAUCUAAACUGAGAGGGGGAAAGAUUCUAUGUUCAAACCUUUAAGAGUGAUUCUUUUAAACUGAGGUAGAGUGUAGAUAAAAAGCCAGCCAUUGUGCUGUGGCAGGGGUGCUGGAUGGGAACAGAGAUUUUAUUUAGACUUAGCUCGAUUGUGUGAUAAGAGCUUUAGGUGACCCGGGAGCAGGGCAUCACUUGCCUGCAGAACCCA
This 1020-nucleotide long non-coding RNA is filed under the name Rattus norvegicus (Norway rat). RNAcentral's name for it is "long non-coding RNA NONRATT005244". Lineage: Eukaryota; Metazoa; Chordata; Mammalia; Rodentia; Muridae. The record is from RNAcentral.